UACAGAGGGUGCGAGCGUUAAUCGGAAUUACUGGGCGUAAAGCGCGCGUAGGUGGUUGGUUAAGUUGGAUGUGAAAGCCCCCGGGCGUCAACCUGGGAACGUGCAUCCAAAACCUAGGGCGACUAGAGUACAGUAGAGGGUGGUGGAAUUUCCUGUGUAGCGGUGAAAUGCGUAGACAUAGGAAGGAACACCAGUGGCGAAGGCGACUACCUGGACUGAUACUGACACUGAGGUGCGAAAGCGUGGGGAGCAAACAGG
Molecule: ribosomal RNA, 258 nt
Filed under: uncultured bacterium
Lineage: Bacteria
Description: partial 16S ribosomal RNA
Rfam family: Bacterial small subunit ribosomal RNA
Source: RNAcentral